RNAcentral lists this ribosomal RNA (460 nucleotides) under uncultured bacterium. RNAcentral describes it as "SSU rRNA". It matches the Rfam family "Bacterial small subunit ribosomal RNA", at positions 26 to 518 of the family's 1533-position model. The record is from RNAcentral.
AGGACGAACGCUGGCGGCGUGCUUAACACAUGCAAGUCACGGGGGCCCGCAAGGGUAACCGGCGAACGGGUGCGUAACACGUGAGCAACCUGCCUAGAUGUGGGGGAUAGCCGGCCCAACGGCCGGGUAAUACCGCAUACGGUCACGAGGAGGAGUCUCCUUGUGAAGAAACCUCCGGGGCAUUUAGAGGGGCUCGCGGCCUAUCAGCUAGUUGGCGGGGUAACGGCCUACCAAGGCGACGACGGAUAGCUGGUCUGAGAGGACGAUCAGCCACACUGGGACUGAGACACGGCCCAGACUCCUACGGGAGGCAGCAGUGGGAAUCUUGCGCAAUGGGGGAAACCCUGACGCAGCGACGCCGCGUGCGGGAUGAAGGCCUUCGGGUGUAAACCGCUUUCAGCAGGGACGAAAUUGACGGUACCUGCAGAAGAGGCCCGGCCAACUACGUGCCAGCAGCCGC